CACAGACUUAGGCUGCUGGCAACAAACUGACAAUUUUUCCUCAUAAACAUCAUCAACCUUUUAAAGUCGAGUGAAGGCAUAUCGAUUUGAACUCAUAAUGCACCCCAAAAGAUGAUCUGCUCCUGAACUACUCAAACCAUGAAGCAGGAUGUGUUGCUAUGACAACUGGAAUUAGCUGCAG
This is a long non-coding RNA of Gambusia affinis (western mosquitofish), 181 nucleotides long. RefSeq lists it as uncharacterized. The record is from RefSeq and is a predicted model, not a curated record. The transcript is spliced from 3 exons. Lineage: Eukaryota; Metazoa; Chordata; Actinopteri; Cyprinodontiformes; Poeciliidae.